UAUGUUUGCUUCUUCUCCUCCUUGGGUCAUCAGACAUCUUCGCCAUGCUCUGGGUCCCCAUUUUGAGCCUUCUGAUCAUGUGGUGCACAGGUUCAGACUCUCAGCCUGUGAUGUCUCAGCCACCAUCAGCAUCAGUGUCAUCGGGGAACACAAUGAGACUCUCCUGUGUCAUGAGCAGUGGAUUCCAAAUCAGUAGCUAUAAUGUGUACUGGUACCAGCAGAAGCCCGGGAAUCCCCCAAGAUACCUCUUACGGUAUUAUUCAGAUUCUGACAAGCACCAGGGUUCCGGGGUCCCCUCUCGAUUCUCUGGGUCCAAAGACACCUCCAGCAACACAGGCUAUUUAACUAUUGGGGGAGCCUUGACCGAAGAUGAGGCUGAUUAUUACUGUGCAGUCUGGCACAGCAAUGCUUGUCACAGUGAUAGAAUCAGAUAA
Heteronotia binoei (common prickly gecko) is the source of this 434-nucleotide non-coding RNA. Lineage: Eukaryota; Metazoa; Chordata; Lepidosauria; Squamata; Gekkonidae. The record is from the annotation of a RefSeq genome assembly.